AUUCAUGUAGUUUAUUAAAACAUUCCAUUUUCAAUGGAAAGAAGGAAAAAUUAUCCCUUGAAUU
RNAcentral lists this transfer RNA (64 nucleotides) under Hospesneotomae barberi. RNAcentral describes it as "Triatoma barberi tRNA-Glu". It matches the Rfam family "tRNA". Rfam says of the family: Transfer RNA (tRNA) molecules are approximately 80 nucleotides in length. Their secondary structure includes four short double-helical elements and three loops (D, anti-codon, and T loops). Lineage: Eukaryota; Metazoa; Arthropoda; Insecta; Hemiptera; Reduviidae. The record is from RNAcentral.